GACGGAGGAUGCAAGUGUUAUCCGGAAUCACUGGGCGUAAAGCGUCUGUAGGUGGUUUACUAAGUCAACUGUUAAAUCUUGAGGCUCAACCUCAAAAUCGCAGUCGAAACUAUUAGGCUAGAGUAUAGUAGGGGUAAAGGGAAUUUCCAGUGGAGCGGUGAAAUGCGUAGAGAUUGGAAAGAACACCGAUGGCGAAGGCACUUUACUGGGCUAUUACUAACACUCAGAGACGAAAGCUAGGGUAGCAAAUGGG
Molecule: ribosomal RNA, 253 nt
Filed under: uncultured bacterium
Lineage: Bacteria
Description: partial 16S ribosomal RNA
Rfam family: Bacterial small subunit ribosomal RNA
Source: RNAcentral